UACGAAGGGUGCGAGCGUUGUUCGGAUUUAUUGGGCGUAAAGGGUUCGUAGGCGGGAUAAUAAGUCAAGUGUGAAAUCUCCGAGCUUAACUCGGAACGUGCAUUUGAAACUGUUAUUCUUGAGUCAUAGAGAGGGCGAUGGAAUUGUUGGUGUAGGAGUGACAUCCGUAGAGAUCAACAGGAACAUCAGAGGCGAAAGCGGUCGCCUGGCUAUGUACUGACGCUGAGGAACGAAAGCGUGGGGAGCAAAC
RNAcentral lists this ribosomal RNA (250 nucleotides) under uncultured bacterium. Its description in RNAcentral is "partial 16S ribosomal RNA". It matches the Rfam family "Bacterial small subunit ribosomal RNA", at positions 524 to 773 of the family's 1533-position model. The record is from RNAcentral.